GUUCAGAAAAGCUGCGCUUAUGCAUGAAGUAAAACGCACACUCAAAUACAACAAGGUUGCCAUUUAAUCAGUAGCAACAAGGCUGCCCGUUUAAUCAGUAGCAGUCACAUUGUGAAAAGAGGCACACGGAGAUACCAAAAGGGUCUGAGUAUCACCCUACACAGGGUUUGCGGCAACUUUACAUGAGGUAGCGCCCCCCAACCACAAGGAUGAGGAGUAACUUCCACAUGCACAACCAGCCCAUGGCCAUGCUAAAGCGCACCAACAGAACAGGAGGAACCUAAAUAUUGUCAAAGGGAUCCAGACUACUUUUACAAACUAAGCCCCAGAACUGAUAGUUCUUGUUUUCUUCAAUUAAUUGGGAUUAACUCCAUUUCCCCUCUACUCAUUUACUGUAGACCAUCUCUGAACACUACAGCCCGCGGAGUCGAUGUGUGUGUGUGUGGCGGGGGGGCAGGGGGGUUUGGUUGUCACUUGAAACUGGAGAGGGUUCAUUUUAAAUAUGAAAUUUUCAAUAAAUCUGAAUUCUCCCUCUAGUUCUCCCCCAUGAUAUUUACAUUUACCUUUGCCUUUUCUUUUUUUUUUCAGACACUCUUCGGAAAAAAAACGGAGAACUUCAGGAUGAAACAGACACUCUUCGGAAAAAAAACGGAGAACUUCAGGAUGAAACAGACACUCUUCGGAAAAAAAACGGUAAAUUUUCUGAUAUCCCAUUGCUCUUGAGCCCCUCCGAAGAGACUGGUUCAGCCUUUCAUCUUGUGUGCCGUUUCAUCUAUUUCGCUUCUGUCGGCAUGCCUUUCUCUUGCACGUCCUGUCUACGGUCUCCACCUCAAUGUUUUGCGUUGGACGUGUCCCACGUUCCUUCUGUCCAUUUCUGUUUGCCUACCUCCUCUGCUCUGCCAUUCCUUCUCUUUGCAAUGCAUGCCAUGCCCUCCCGGUAAGGACUGGCUUUGCUUCGGUCUUUCAGGCACUUGCCACAGUUUCAUGAAGAAGUUGGUGAGAUGCAAAGCAUUACGCUG
This 1019-nucleotide long non-coding RNA is filed under the name Sus scrofa (pig). RNAcentral describes it as "lncRNA (ENSSSCG00070004888.1)". Lineage: Eukaryota; Metazoa; Chordata; Mammalia; Artiodactyla; Suidae. The record is from RNAcentral.